RNAcentral lists this ribosomal RNA (521 nucleotides) under Hepatozoon felis. RNAcentral describes it as "bacterial SSU rRNA". It matches the Rfam family "Eukaryotic small subunit ribosomal RNA", at positions 473 to 991 of the family's 1831-position model. Lineage: Eukaryota; Apicomplexa; Hepatozoidae. The record is from RNAcentral.
AGAAAUAACAAUACAAGGCAGUUAAAAUGCUUUGUAAUUGGAAUGAUAGAAAUUUAAACACUUUUUAAAGUAUCAAUUGGAGGGCAAGUCUGGUGCCAGCAGCCGCGGUAAUUCCAGCUCCAAUAGCGUAUAUUAAAAUUGUUGCAGUUAAAAAGCUCGUAGUUGAAUUUCUGUUAAAAAUAACCGGUCUGCUUUUAAUAAAAGUGGUAUCUUGGUGUGUUUUUAGCAAUAAUGUCCUUUGAAAUGUUUUUUACUUUAUUGUAAUAAAUAAUAUUCAGGAUUUUUACUUUGAGAAAAUUAGAGUGUUUCUAGCAGGCUAACGCUUUGAAUACUGCAGCAUGGAAUAAUAAGAUAGGAUUUUAGUUCUACAUUAUUGGUUUUAAGAACUAAAUUAAUGAUUGAUAGGGACAGUUGGGGGCAUUUGUAUUUAACUGUCAGAGGUGAAAUUCUUAGAUUUGUUAAAGACAAACUACUGCGAAAGCAUUUGCCAAAGAUGUUUUCAUUAAUCAAGAACGAAAGUU